UACGUAGGGGGCGAGCGUUGUCCGGAUUUAUUGGGCGUAAAGAGCUCGUAGGCGGCUUGGCAAGUCGGGUGUGAAACCUCCAGGCUCAACCUGGAGACGCCACUCGAUACUGCUAUGGCUAGAGUCCGGUAGGGGACCACGGAAUUCCUGGUGUAGAGGUGAAAUUCGUAGAUAUCAGGAGGAACACCGGUGGCGAAAGCGGCGACCUGGCCCGAUACUGACGCUCAUGGACGAAAGCGUGGGGAGCAAACAGG
This 254-nucleotide ribosomal RNA is filed under the name uncultured bacterium. RNAcentral's name for it is "partial 16S ribosomal RNA". It matches the Rfam family "Bacterial small subunit ribosomal RNA", at positions 524 to 776 of the family's 1533-position model. The record is from RNAcentral.